GAUGAACGCUGGCGGCGUGCCUAAUACAUGCAAGUCGAGCGAACAGACGAGGAGCUUGCUCCUCUGACGUUAGCGGCGGACGGGUGAGUAACACGUGGAUAACCUACCUAUAAGACUGGGAUAACUUCGGGAAACCGGAGCUAAUACCGGAUAAUAUAUUGAACCGCAUGGUUCAAUAGUGAAAGACGGUUUUGCUGUCACUUAUAGAUGGAUCCGCGCCGCAUUAGCUAGUUGGUAAGGUAACGGCUUACCAAGGCAACGAUGCGUAGCCGACCUGAGAGGGUGAUCGGCCACACUGGAACUGAGACACGGUCCAGACUCCUACGGGAGGCAGCAGUAGGGAAUCUUCCGCAAUGGGCGAAAGCCUGACGGAGCAACGCCGCGUGAGUGAUGAAGGUCUUCGGAUCGUAAAACUCUGUUAUUAGGGAAGAACAAAUGUGUAAGUAACUAUGCACGUCUUGACGGUACCUAAUCAGAAAGCCACGGCUAAUUACGUG
This 497-nucleotide ribosomal RNA is filed under the name uncultured bacterium. Its description in RNAcentral is "partial 16S ribosomal RNA". It matches the Rfam family "Bacterial small subunit ribosomal RNA", at positions 28 to 507 of the family's 1533-position model. The record is from RNAcentral.